CUACUCUUGACAUCCAGAGAACUUUCCAGAGAUGGAUUGGUGCCUUCGGGAACUCUGAGACAGGUGCUGCAUGGCUGUCGUCAGCUCGUGUUGUGAAAUGUUGGGUUAAGUCCCGCAACGAGCGCAACCCUUAUCCUUUGUUGCCAGCGGUCCGGCCGGGAACUCAAAGGAGACUGCCAGUGAUAAACUGGAGGAAGGUGGGGAUGACGUCAAGUCAUCAUGGCCCUUACGAGUAGGGCUACACACGUGCUACAAUGGCGCAUACAAAGAGAAGCGACCUCGCGAGAGCAAGCGGACCUCAUAAAGUGCGUCGUAGUCCGGAUUGGAGUCUGCAACUCGACUCCAUGAAGUCGGAAUCGCUAGUAAUCGUAGAUCAGAA
Molecule: ribosomal RNA, 379 nt
Filed under: uncultured bacterium
Lineage: Bacteria
Description: bacterial SSU rRNA
Rfam family: Bacterial small subunit ribosomal RNA
Source: RNAcentral